GGGGGGGGGGGGGGGGGGGGGGGGGGGGGGGGGGGGGGGCGGGGGGGGCGCGGUCGGGGGGGACGGGAGGGGGGGAGGGGUGAGGAACACGGGGGGAGGCUGCCCGUGACGUUGGGAUAACUUCCGGGAACGGGGGCUAAUGCCGGAGAGGAGCUCCUGCUGCAUGGUGGGGGGUGGACAGGUUCGGCGGUUGGGGGUGGACGCGCGGCUUAUCAGCGUGUUGGUGGGGGAGUGGCUUACCAAGGCUUUGACGGGUAGCCGGCCUGAGAGGGUGACCGGCGACAUUGGGAGUGAGGUAGGGCCCGGACGCCUACGGGUGGCAGCCGUGGGGAAUCUUGCACAAUGGGUGGGAGCCUGAUGCAGAAGCGCCGUGUGCGGGAUGACGGGCUUCGGGUUGUAAACCGCUUUCGCUCAUGACGAAGCUUUGUGUGACGGUAGUGGGUAAAGAAGCACCGGCUAACUACGUG
RNAcentral lists this ribosomal RNA (467 nucleotides) under uncultured bacterium. RNAcentral describes it as "partial 16S ribosomal RNA". The stretch from base 49 to 467 matches the Rfam family "Bacterial small subunit ribosomal RNA", at positions 34 to 507 of the family's 1533-position model. The record is from RNAcentral.